This 27-nucleotide non-coding RNA is filed under the name Homo sapiens (human). The record is from RNAcentral. Lineage: Eukaryota; Metazoa; Chordata; Mammalia; Primates; Hominidae.
AGCUCAUGCAGGAGAGAAGGUGGACUU